Molecule: ribosomal RNA, 253 nt
Filed under: uncultured bacterium
Lineage: Bacteria
Description: partial 16S ribosomal RNA
Rfam family: Bacterial small subunit ribosomal RNA
Source: RNAcentral
UACAGAGGUGGCAAGCGUUGUUCGGAAUUACUGGGCGUAAAGGGCGCGUAGGCGGUCCUGUAAGUCUUGUGUGAAAUCCCUCGGCUUAACUGAGGAACUGCACGAGAUACUGCGAGACUUGAGUUCGGGAGAGGUGAGUGGAAUUCCUAGUGUAGAGGUGAAAUUCGUAGAUAUUAGGAAGAACACCAGUGGCGAAGGCGGCUCACUGGCCCGGUACUGACGCUGAGGCGCGAAAGCGUGGGGAGCAAACAGG